This is a long non-coding RNA of Suricata suricatta (meerkat), 434 nucleotides long. RefSeq lists it as uncharacterized. Lineage: Eukaryota; Metazoa; Chordata; Mammalia; Carnivora; Herpestidae. The transcript has 2 exons. The record is from RefSeq and is a predicted model, not a curated record.
CAGCAGUUAACAGACGCGAGCCGCUGCAGGCCGAAACGGACCUUAUAUACGGACGCGUGCGCAGCAGUGACCUCCUUGGCUUGCGAAGAGAGAAUUACACAUGCGCAGUGCCAAAACCGUAACCCAAACUCGGGGUACAGGUGGUUGAGCAAAGCUUAUGCCACUGGAGGGCGCCUCUAGCUCUGACUGGAGAAGAGAAGGUGAACAAAAAGGAGCCGCGCAGUAAGAGGGUUCCGUUAAGAUGAUUCAGAUCUUCAAUGCUCCCAGAUUCUGGGCCAACGUGAAGGGCCCUCCCCAAAUGUCAUUUCACAGAUGGACACACUGAGGUCCAGAGCCUGGAAUGGUUCAUGCUCAGCCCCGCCUCUGAGCACCAUCAAGAUGUAAAGAGGCCAUUUUAUAGAUAAAAACUCAAUGAAUCCGCUUUAUUUUGGCAA